AUUGAACGCUGGCGGCAUGCUUUACACAUGCAAGUCGAACGGCAGCGGGGACUUCGGUCCGCCGGCGAGUGGCGAACGGGUGAGUAAUGCAUCGGAACGUGCCUAUCAGUGGGGGAUAACGCUUUGAAAGGAGUGCUAAUUCCGCAUAUUCUUUGAGGAGGAAAGCAGGGGACCUUAGGGCCUUGCGCUGAUAGAGCGGCCGAUGUCGGAUUAGCUAGUUGGUGAGGUAAAGGCUCGCCAAGGCGACGAUCCGUAGCGGGUUUGAGAGGAUGAUCCGCCACACUGGGACUGAGACACGGCCCAGACUCCUACGGGAGGCAGCAGUGGGGAAUUUUGGACAAUGGGCGAAAGCCUGAUCCAGCCAUGCCGCGUGAGUGAAGAAGGCCUUCGGGUUGUAAAGUACUUUCAGCGGGGAGGAAGGGAGUAAAGUUAAUACCUUUGCUCAUUGACGUUACCAGCAGAAGAAGCACCGGCUAACUCCGUG
Molecule: ribosomal RNA, 484 nt
Filed under: uncultured bacterium
Lineage: Bacteria
Description: bacterial SSU rRNA
Rfam family: Bacterial small subunit ribosomal RNA
Source: RNAcentral